RNAcentral lists this long non-coding RNA (550 nucleotides) under Olea europaea subsp. europaea. The record is from RNAcentral. Lineage: Eukaryota; Viridiplantae; Streptophyta; Magnoliopsida; Lamiales; Oleaceae.
AAUUUCAAAAACAUCAUUCCAUAUAUCUUUCAAUAUCUAUGUUUCAUUUUAACUCUUCUAUUUCUAACCAUUCUCAUCUACUAAUCAAAUAGAAUUCAUUGCAGAUAGAAAUGGCAACAUAACACAAACGCAUACCUGACAUCAAACCUGGAGAGUCUGGCUGGAUUGUAGAAGCAGUAGUUUCAGAAAAAUGCUCUCUCAACAAAGCUCGGCAUAGUCCAUUGAAAUACCAACACAUUUGGUUAAUGGAUCCCAUGGUAAAUCUUCUCACAUAGUUUAAGUUCCUUUAUUUGAAACUUUGAUCCACAAUAAAUCAAAAUCAUUAACUUUAAACAUCUGUUUAUCAAUUUUUUAAUCUAAAUUAAGAGCACAUAAUGUCCUCUCAAACUCUUUCUUCAUUUGAAAACGAGAUUGCUAGAUUUAAUUCAUUCAAGUUGUAAUAUUUUUAAGUCUCAAAUGUAGCAACUUCCAGAAUAUAUAAAUGAAAACAUGUAUAAAAUUGGAUUCUAAACAUGUAGAUAUACCCUUCUUUUGAAAGAGGAACACCACU